AUUGAACGCUGGCGGCAUGCUUUACACAUGCAAGUCGAACGGCAGCGCGGGCUUCGGCCUGGCGGCGAGUGGCGAACGGGUGAGUAAUGCAUCGGAACGUGCCCAGUAGUGGGGGAUAGCCCGGCGAAAGCCGGAUUAAUACCGCAUACGACCUGAGGGUGAAAGCGGGGGACCGAAAGGCCUCGCGCUAUUGGAGCGGCCGAUGUCGGAUUAGCUAGUUGGUGGGGUAAAGGCUUACCAAGGCGACGAUCUGUAGCUGGUCUGAGAGGACGACCAGCCACACUGGGACUGAGACACGGCCCAGACUCCUACGGGAGGCAGCAGUGGGGAAUUUUGGACAAUGGGGGCAACCCUGAUCCAGCCAUGCCGCGUGCGAGAAGAAGGCCUUCGGGUUGUAAACCGCUUUUGUUCGGGAAGAAAUCCUCUGGGCUAAUACCCCGGGGGGAUGACGGUACCGGAAGAAUAAGCACCGGCUAACUACGUG
RNAcentral lists this ribosomal RNA (484 nucleotides) under uncultured bacterium. RNAcentral's name for it is "partial 16S ribosomal RNA". It matches the Rfam family "Bacterial small subunit ribosomal RNA", at positions 29 to 507 of the family's 1533-position model. The record is from RNAcentral.